UUGUAACCACUGAAUGCAGAUGAAUAAGUCAAUGACGAAAGGUAUCAAUGCAUCCAAUGAGCGGGGGUAGAGAAGCGUCCCCCCUCCCCUGGUUGUGUGGGACAAAUGAGUGAGCUGUCAGUCAUUUGAGUGUCGCUCUGUUCACACUGAGAGGCUCCGGCUCCAUCAGCGCGCAGCUCUGUGGUUUGAAAAAAGCCAAACACUUCUCUCUGGUAACGACGAUUGGGUUUGGUUUUCCAUUUUGUGUUUACGCACUGGUGCAUCGCUCUGGCCAAAUGGUCCAAGCUUGAAAAUAAAACACCAAUUAGGUGAAAAUAAUGGAACAAUUUACAGAUACUGUUGUUUCCAGUCAUUAUCAGACAGCCUCCUCCAAGCAAAGCCUGUGAGACAUUCACCACUGAAGGACGUUUAGCGGCCGACUGGGAGAUCCAGAUCAUUCACACAUUUCUAUGCUGCGCAGGUAACUUCAAAUUGAAAUCACACUGGGAGUAAACAAGGAGGAGAGCUUUUUUCUUCUGCCCCAAAUAAAUGUUUUUGUUUAUUUUGAUAUCACGCAGCAAUAAGUGCCGUAGCGGGCUACAAAGAACUGAAGGGAUACGCAGAGACAUAAAGUCGGAUGCGCUUCAUUACCACUCUCUAAAUGGUGUUAGGAAAAGCUCUCACUGUCACUGCGGAACACAUCCUGUCCAUGACAAUAGGCGGUUUAACACAACACAAUAGCAGUGUCUUUUUGAAAAAAAAACAGCUGUUUUUCAAUAGAUUUGCUUUCAAAUAAUUACACUGCUCACUAAUAAGCCUACAGCUCAGCAUGAAUAUUAAAAAAAGACUUUCAGACUCCCCAUAUCCCGCUGUGCACAUAUACAAAACAAAGCAUAUAUAUAUAUAUAUAUAUGUAUAUGUAUAUUUCAGAAUAAAUUUGCAUCAAGCUCCAAGCUGACCAAGCUGAAAACUAAAAGAAGAUGCCUUUUUAUCUCUCACUUUAUUUUCCACCGUUUUGCUGCUAAUGAAAUGGAACCGAUUCCUCUGUCUUGUGCGCAUUGAAAUUCCCGAGCUGUUCCGGUUGCCUGUGGAGCAGGAUUGUUGUAUCUCGCAGCCUGCCCUCUCAUAAUGAAAGAGAGUCUGGAUAAUAUUAUGUGCUGUGCGGCUAAUUAUCUCUGCACAGUAACUGCUUCAACCACAUCACACGUGAGUCAACUGAAGAUGCAGAAAUGUGAAGUUAGUUACCGGCGGCAACAAGUUGGUAAAUUAGACCAUUAAACAGGGAACGCUUUAGGGUGGGAAAGGCUUGUGAUUGACAGAUUUCUACCAAUAUAUUAACUGUCACAGUUGGGUUGCCCAGCUAUGCCUUGGGCAGCGUUCUCAGCUUCAUCCUGUGUAUUCACUUCUAGUUACGUUUUAUUUUCGAAAAUAAUUUCUGACCUAAAAUAUUUAAACUUUUUCUUUCAAAAUAUUUUUUGAUCUAACACAUUUGAACUUUUUUUCAACAUUUUUUCGACCUAACAUAUUUUAACUAUUAUAUUUGGGCUUUUUUCAAAACCUUUUUUGACCUAUUAUAUAUUUUGCCUUUUUUCAAAAAUACAUAUUUUUGACACAAAAUGUUUCUUUUUCUUUCAAACGUUUUUUAAACAAACAAACUUUGAAAUAAAUCUUACAUCAUUGGACUUUAAAACAAAAACAUUUGACCUAAAAUAGUGUGACUUUUUUUUCCAUAAAAUUUCAAACUAAUACUUUUUGUCCUCUAGACCUCUAACUUUGUCCAGCAGAAGCACAAUAUCGCUUCAUUUUGUAUCAGCAUAAAUAUCCUGUAUUUAACCUGUCUUCUACAGAGUUGAUGAGGAUUCUUGAAAAAAAAUGAUUAAAACAAAUAAACUGUGGUUCUGAAGGACACUUGGGUCGGACGUGGCCAGUGUAGAUGGGCAUUUUGGCGGCCGCUGGCGUUGAACUGGUGACCUUUUCGUUUUUACCUGGUCUCCAAAAGCACCGGGCCAACCUGACAGCCCUGAAUGAAUCCUUGUCUGGGCAUGCAUGCUUGAUGACAUUCAACCAGUUCCCGGGAGACGCUUGCUUGGCUCUCAGCUCUGCAUUUUACAAGGUCCCACAGUCUCAGGCAGUCCACAAGCAGGUGGGGAAAAUAAUUAAGUAUGAUUACCAGACAUUAAUCCAUCCAUAGAGUGACAGCCACAGCUGCCCAAACUUUACAGCUGCCACACAGGCCUACAGAGGGCUUCCAGGUGACGCAACGCAACCUUUGCAGCCAUAAUGGACGACCUGUGAAGAACUCAUUCAUUCGUUUGUCUCUCUCCUGUCUGAUUGCAUGAUGGGGAGAUACGACGUUGGAGGAAUUAUUCCAUACGUUUGCUAAACUGGGCAUUUCAAUCAUAAUCAUAUGAUGUAAUGGACAACGCAUGUAUCUGGUGUCUUUAAAUCUUUCAUUCAUUCCCUCUAUCGACUCUGUCUCAUCUCAUUUAAUGGGAGUUUUUAUUUGGUUAUAUUUUUCUGUCAGCGACAGAAUGGAAAGAUUACUUCACAGAUUCACCGCAGUGUGUAUGAAAAAUAUGUCCUUGUCGACUGUGUUCUGCCUCAAAACGAAUGCGCUGUGGGGAACUAAAGUCGCAACUUCCUUUUUAAGCUCUUUUUAGUCAGACUAUUUAUUGCAUGAAAGAGUGUUUUUCUGGUGUGUGGGGAUCUGCUAGUUUACAUAGCUAUGAGAGUAUCAGUGGUGCUUAAGCAUUAGAUAUUUUGUCAGCUUUCAACAACAUACAGUGCUCCAUAGACCCCUUGAGUCUUAGCAACAAAAGUGCUGUCGACGCCUGCCAACUACCACGAGGGGCCCCAGUAAUAAAAAGUGAUUUUCCCCAUAAGAAAGAAUCUCAGUAGAUGGCCAUCGCCCAGUAGAUG
Gasterosteus aculeatus aculeatus (three-spined stickleback) is the source of this 2898-nucleotide long non-coding RNA. The record is from Ensembl. Lineage: Eukaryota; Metazoa; Chordata; Actinopteri; Perciformes; Gasterosteidae.